UACGUAGGGUCCGAGCGUUGUCCGGAAUUACUGGGCGUAAAGAGCUCGUAGGUGGUUUGUCGCGUUGUCCGUGAAAACUCACAGCUCAACUGUGGGCGUGCGGGCGAUACGGGCAGACUUGAGUACUGCAGGGGAGACUGGAAUUCCUGGUGUAGCGGUGGAAUGCGCAGAUAUCAGGAGGAACACCGGUGGCGAAGGCGGGUCUCUGGGCAGUAACUGACGCUGAGGAGCGAAAGCGUGGGGAGCGAACAGG
RNAcentral lists this ribosomal RNA (253 nucleotides) under uncultured bacterium. Its description in RNAcentral is "partial 16S ribosomal RNA". It matches the Rfam family "Bacterial small subunit ribosomal RNA", at positions 524 to 776 of the family's 1533-position model. The record is from RNAcentral.